GAGAUCAGCACACAGACACAUGCAGAGUACAGAUCGUGUGAAGAUGAAAAAGGCAGCCGUCUUCAUACUGAGGGAAGUUUCAAAAGAAACGAAUUGUACUGACAUCUUGAUCUUGAAAUUUUGCCCUCCAAAACUCCACCAACUUUAGGGUACUUUGUGAUAGAAGCCUUAGGAAACAAAUACUGGAAUAGAGGAAACAGAGCCCUACCACCUGCACGUCAUGGAUGGUUCUUCUGAUGAAUCUGCAUAGAACAGAGGCUGGGAUUCUAUAUCCUAUGGACCUAAUUCAUCUACAUCCAUUUUUUAAGCCUAAUGAGUUCCAUGAAAGGGCUCUGAGAUGGAUAUUCUGAAUCCCUAUUUCUCAGAGGAAUAAAUGGAAGAGGAGAGGCGAAGCAAUUUUCUUGGCUCUGAUUUUGGUAAAUCACAACCAGCACUUCGAAUGCGUGGUUUUGACCACUUUGGUUCUACCCUAGAGCUGAGGGUAUCUAUUUAUGGGGACAACUCAUCUAGUGGGAUUCCUAAAGUGCUGAGAUAUCUUUUGAGCUCCUGGGCAUCUCAGUACAAAUCUCAGCAAUAGAAAUUCAUCUUAUGGAUCAACAAGUCCCUCUUUGAAGAUGUAAAAUAAGGAAGAUAUGUUGCCUGGUGGGGAAAGGAGCUGCAUGAGGAUUGGCAAAGGAGUGAGAGGUGGAGAGCAAUAUUGCCAGGCCUGGCCAAGACCCAGAAGGGAAGAUCUGGAGGAGUGGGCAUCAGGAAGUAGAGGGAAAGGAAAAGGACAAGCAUCCAGCACAUGCCAAUUUAUUCUUCUUCCUUAUGAUUCUCCUGCUUAAUUGGUGUUACUGAGAGAGACUGGUACUUCGACAAACAGAUCAUGGGCUUGACUUAUUUUAGUGAUUCUUGCAUUCUUAUCAUCUUUUCCUUGCUGCCCUCUGACCAACCUCUUGUCUUACCUCACAGUGAUCUAUAUACUUACAGCCUCGGCACUGACAAGCUUCUUGAUGAUGAGCAAGUUGGCUCUGAGAGAAUUCCUUGCCAAGAGAGAAGUCCUACACAAGGAGAAUGCUCCCCACCAGAGCAUCAGUAGAGCAAAUCUGUGGAUUCUAUUUUCAGGCAGGCUAUAAAUUCUGGACACGGCAUUAGUUAAGAGAAGAUGGGACAUCAGUAAAUAUCAGGGUCACAUGGUUUCCAGUUAAAAUGGAAUCAGCAUGACAUUGAUAUGAUACAUUGUGUUCUUUGCUCAGAGAUGUUCUUGGGUGACACAGGAAACUUGGGAUGUUUCUUCUCUGCCAAGUAAUAAUCAAGUGGGGGGGACUGGAAUGGAAAAUUAGUUUUGUAUUUGAAUGUCCUUAGAAAGAAACUGAAAUUACAGCCCCUUAUGUUGGUGGUACCAUCUUAACAGAGUGAAAAUAACUUGUUUUUCUGUCUCACUUUUCAGUGAAUGAUAGAAAAUGGUGUACGUGAUAAAGGAGUUUUCAUUUUCAAAAAGGAUUUCCAAAGAAAGACUGGAGUGGAUCUAUCACACCAU
Molecule: non-coding RNA, 1522 nt
Organism: Heterocephalus glaber (naked mole-rat)
Lineage: Eukaryota; Metazoa; Chordata; Mammalia; Rodentia; Bathyergidae
Source: RefSeq, a predicted model, not a curated record